Molecule: unclassified non-coding RNA, 287 nt
Filed under: Hevea brasiliensis (rubber tree)
Lineage: Eukaryota; Viridiplantae; Streptophyta; Magnoliopsida; Malpighiales; Euphorbiaceae
Source: RNAcentral
GAGGGCGAGCUUAACAGAGCCGGAUUGAAGUUCGGCCCAGCGAAGAGUGCACACAUUUACUGAAAAGUCCAAUCCUUCGGAGUAGAAACGAGCUGCUUUAGGCACGUCCUUAUGUAACUGCAAUAUCCACCUAAAAGAAACAGCUGCCAUCUUUCUCCCUCUCUAUAUGUCCUUCAAUAGCUGAUUACCCUUUGGUUCUCCUCGGUUUUGGGCUGGUGGCGGAGAAGUGACGAGGAGUUUUGAGAGAGAAGGAAUCGGCAAGGGCAGACCUAAAGGAAGGAAUAGAA